Molecule: long non-coding RNA, 3024 nt
Organism: Pelodiscus sinensis (Chinese soft-shelled turtle)
Lineage: Eukaryota; Metazoa; Chordata; Testudines; Trionychidae
Source: RefSeq, a predicted model, not a curated record
AAAUGACAUAAAGCAAUUACCUUUAAAAGUUACUGGCAAUGAGACCAUUGUUUAGUAUUUCAAGCCUAGUUAUAGAGAGACCACGAAGAACUUUGAGAGACUAUGCUGCCAAGAAAGGAAUUGUUUCCCACGGAAUGUAAAUGAUGCAACUUGACAUUACUUGAUAUGAAGUGAUAGAAUAGAAUAGUGCCCACACAAAGCCAACAAACUAACCGAAAAUGAAGAGCAAAACAAAUGUAUAAAGCCAUUUAUCAGUGCAGACUAAAACCCAUUCCUUCUUAACUACGUGAUAAGCAAGAAGCUAAAUGAACGCAAACAUGUUUGCAGAAAUACUUCCUCACAAUGGCUGGGUUAAAUGUUUGUUUGGAGUAUAAGUGGUAACCCCUUCCAACUCGUCAUGAACCACGCACCCCUCCAGUGGUUACACGCAAUGAAGAAGAUGAACGCCCGUGUAAUGAGGUGCUGCGCCCCCCACAGUGCUGUGAUGGAGGAGAGAUAGAAACUCAAGACUUUUCCUUCUCCUGGUGAAUCUCCUGAAGUGUAACAGGUGAAUGCUUCAGCACCCAUUGUAAUUAUGUUCUCUCUGGCCACCCAGCUGCAAGACACAAGAAAGCUCACAAUUUUACAAGCUGCUGCAGUCCAGCUGGGGAAAUCAGUGAAGUUUUUACAGAGAUUUUGCUCACAACCGUCAGCAACGAGGGAAAGGGGGGAAUUCUGUGCUUCUCUUGCUCCACCGCCGUCAUGUGGUCUGACAUCUAUCCCACCAGCACUGCACUGGUGCUCCUGCACUAAGGUUAGAGCCGCUUCAAACUGAGUGAAGGAGCAGAGACUCAAGUCCACUGUGAACAGUAUAUUCACAUCUUGAAUUUUCUAUAGCACUGGGAAGGAUACGGCAUGUAACUUUCACAAAAUGCCUGUCAAGAAAAAGAGGAAUAAUUGCAAUGAAUAUUCACCUCGGGAAGCUGCUUCACAGAACCUAUAGCACUUACCUCUGUAUUUAUGCAGAAUUUCAGCUUGUUUAUUUCUCAGCAGUUUGAAGGAGAGGAUGCUGAGCAGAUGACUCAAGGGAGAGAAAUCCUAUAGUAAACAAAGAUGAAUUGCGGCAAGAAUGAUGUAGACUUUUUUUUUUAUUUUUAAAAACCUCCUGGUUUUGAAAAUGAGUUGCAUCUGUUAUAGGGGGCACUGAUACAACAGUUCAAAUAUUGCCCUUGUACAUCUGAAUCCUUCUUUGUUUGAUUAUUGGCUUGUUGUCUCCAAAAUAAAAUAAACACUUUUUCCGUCUUUCUUUGCUUGCCAGCACGACUUAGAAUGCCAGCUGAAGAUCAAAAUGUGAUUUUAUAGUGAAUUUUUUUGGGUGCUGAAAAUUCUGUGGAGUGUAAUUUUUAUUUAAAAUCUGUCAUCGUUGCAGAAUGAUUCCUAGUUUUUCUUGUGUGCACCCUUAUAGGGACAGAUUUCAUCAUAUUUGCCUUACCCAAGGUGAAACUACAUGGUUCCACCCGUCAGACUGGAUAUCUGGGCUGCAGCCCUCUUGUUUAUCAACUAUGUAAACCGGACAGAUAUGUUUGGCAAGCCCUUUUCUUCUAGGAGACUGACAGCAACUGAUUGAAGUGACUCAGAACAGCUUCUUCAAAACCAAGCAUUAUUUAUUCACCUAAAAGUACAUAGCAAGAAAAGCAAAAGGUAAAAACAAGCAAAGACCUGUACAUGUGGGUCUCAAAAGGAAAGACUACAGUGUAAGUUCCCCUUUGCCCAGUGGCCCCCAUUUCUGCCUGGGAGAUACAGAGUGCCUGCUUGCUGCAGUUUUGUGUGUGUGUGCGCGCACGCGGUCAUCUUCCCACCUCAGCAAUUGCAGGAAACUCACUCCACACAUUUUCCCUAGGCCAUCAUUUUAAAAAUGUUCUCAUUACCUUUUGAUCCCAGGGUUGGCUCUGAGAAGGACAAACAUCGCCAGCCUUGCUGAACUCAGGAAAGGGUUAUUUACUAAUUAACAGCUUCCCUAUUGUCUCCUUAAGGAACAUUGUUGUUGUUUGAUGUCUGUUUCAUUUCCUGUUUAUUUCCAUCAUUACAACAUUAUUUGGUUUAACUCAGUGCAGUUAGACUGUAUAAUAUCAAACAGUUAAACUGAGUUACAUAUGAUAUUUAUCAAAGAAAUAAACAGCUCCUUUAUGCUCUGCAAUAGCCAAUGCUUUGUAUCAAGAUAUCAGAUCACUAUGCAUAUGUAAGAAACUAAUGUUUUGUGCUUUCUGCAGAGAUCUACAAUGCUCAACCAAGAGACUAAAAAUGGCUCAUCCUAAUUUCUACAGUUUUGUUAACAAGAUCAUUGUGGGAAACAUUGAUUUGUCAAAUGAAAAAGGACAGAAUUAGCAAAAGGAAUGGGUGUUUCUCCAAGCUUUGAAAAUAUCACAAAUCACAGAAAGGAAUAAUUUCAACUUCAGGUUCUGAGCAGUGUCUUUUUUGCUAUUGCUUUCUGCCAUAGUUUGUGCUGUAGGGCUGUGCAGAAGUGCCCCUUUGAAGUAUUCUGGGUAUUUAUAUGUCCUCGCUUACCGUCACAUUGGUCAAAGGACAACGCCUCCGAGACCAUGGGGAAGUGUUUUCAUCUCCAUUUAGACAGAUGAGCAGGCUUAACCAACUAGUAGUUUUUCUUUUAUGCUGGCUGGCCUGGCAUUGUUUGCAAAGAUGGCAGGGGGCUGGCAGUACAACUCCACUGACUAUUUGAUUAAUUUGUGUUCAACAUUGGACAAAUUAUUCAUUUAGAAAAGAUGUGUGUCAAUAUAGGCUCUUACAGUGUUCUACUACUGCCCUCUAACCCAGCCUCCCUAUUCAAACUGAGAAUCUCAAAAUGCAUUACAAAUGAUUGGUAAAGCUUCAGAGUAACCUGUAGAGUCAUGUGAAUAAUACUCAUAUGGACAUUUGUUUUCCACAGAGAGGACUGAAAUUAAUAGCUUCCUUAUUGAUUGACGCAAAAUGCAGGACAAUGUAGCACUUUAAAGACAAACAAGAUGGUUUAUUAGAUGAUGAGCUUUC